UGGGGAAUAUUGCACAAUGGGCGCAAGCCUGAUGCAGCCAUGCCGCGUGUAUGAAGAAGGCCUUCGGGUUGUAAAGUACUUUCAGCGGGGAGGAAGGCGAUGGGGUUAAUAACCCUGUCGAUUGACGUUACCCGCAGAAGAAGCACCGGCUAACUCCGUGCCAGCAGCCGCGGUAAUACGGAGGGUGCAAGCGUUAAUCGGAAUUACUGGGCGUAAAGCGCACGCAGGCGGUCUGUUAAGUCAGAUGUGAAAUCCCCGGGCUUAACCUGGGAACUGCAUUUGAAACUGGCAGGCUUGAGUCUUGUAGAGGGGGGUAGAAUUCCAGGUGUAGCGGUGAAAUGCGUAGAGAUCUGGAGGAAUACCGGUGGCGAAGGCGGCCCCCUGGACAAAGACUGACGCUCAGGUGCGAAAGCGUGGGGAGCAAACAGG
RNAcentral lists this ribosomal RNA (429 nucleotides) under Bacillota bacterium. RNAcentral describes it as "Firmicutes bacterium partial 16S ribosomal RNA". It matches the Rfam family "Bacterial small subunit ribosomal RNA", at positions 355 to 776 of the family's 1533-position model. The record is from RNAcentral. Lineage: Bacteria; Bacillati; Bacillota.